Molecule: long non-coding RNA, 378 nt
Filed under: Bos taurus (domestic cattle)
Lineage: Eukaryota; Metazoa; Chordata; Mammalia; Artiodactyla; Bovidae
Description: long non-coding RNA NONBTAT004836
Source: RNAcentral
AUUUAAGACUUUACUUUAUUCAGCAAAAUCAUUUAUUUACACAGUGGGGAAUGCUGGUUUGAUUCUGUCAAUGAAAUAAAAACAAGGUGAACAGAGACAAUACUGAAUUGUGUAUGUAUUUUGUACCAGAGGUGACCAACUGUUUCCUUACCUGUGUCAGGAACACCAAGAGCAACGGUAUCACGAGACACUGGUUAACAAUACACCACAAAGGUCCAGUGACGCCCUGGGCUUCCAAUGCAAUCACCAACUUUUUCGAUAAGGAUCUGACUUAUGGACGUUAAGAGUGGGUUGGGAGGUGGGCGGGCAGGGGGAGGGGAGGGAAGUGUAGAGCAUAGCCCCUAUUAAAACAAGCUAACUUUCCAGAUUUUCCAAAUU